UACGUAGGGGGCUAGCGUUGUCCGGAUUUAUUGGGCGUAAAGAGCGUGUAGGCGGCCUGGUAGGUCUGCUGUGAAAACUCGAGGCUCAACCUCGAGAUGUCGGCGGAAACCAUCUGGCUAGAGUCCGGAAGAGGAGAGUGGAAUUCCUGGUGUAGCGGUGAAAUGCGUAGAUAUCAGGAGGAACACCGGUGGUGUAGACGGCUUUCUGGACCGUAACUGACGCUGAGACACGAAAGCGUGGGGAGCGAACAGG
RNAcentral lists this ribosomal RNA (253 nucleotides) under uncultured bacterium. Its description in RNAcentral is "partial 16S ribosomal RNA". It matches the Rfam family "Bacterial small subunit ribosomal RNA", at positions 524 to 776 of the family's 1533-position model. The record is from RNAcentral.